RNAcentral lists this unclassified non-coding RNA (204 nucleotides) under Hevea brasiliensis (rubber tree). Lineage: Eukaryota; Viridiplantae; Streptophyta; Magnoliopsida; Malpighiales; Euphorbiaceae. The record is from RNAcentral.
GACCGGAAUCGGUGGUGAUCCGAUGGAAAAGAAUGUACCCUUUUUGUUCCAAGUUCGCAAUAUGUUCUUUUUAGAGGUCGGGUACUGGCCUGUUUUAACCCCAGGUGGCCUGUUUUAAUUAUGAGAGUGGCCUCUCAUGGAACGAUGUUCGCUAUACGAACUUGGUUCCGUGACAGCCGCCUUCAGGCUGCGGGUAGGACCACA